RNAcentral lists this transfer RNA (85 nucleotides) under Candidatus Dadabacteria bacterium. RNAcentral describes it as "tRNA-Leu". It matches the Rfam family "tRNA". Rfam says of the family: Transfer RNA (tRNA) molecules are approximately 80 nucleotides in length. Their secondary structure includes four short double-helical elements and three loops (D, anti-codon, and T loops). The record is from RNAcentral. Lineage: Bacteria; Pseudomonadati; Thermodesulfobacteriota; Candidatus Dadabacteria. RNAcentral also lists the same sequence under 1 other name.
GCGAGAGUGGCGGAAUUGGUAGACGCGCUGGACUUAGGAUCCAGUGGAUCCUUCCGUGGGGGUUCAAAUCCCCCCUCUCGCACCA